Gigantopelta aegis is the source of this 424-nucleotide long non-coding RNA. RefSeq lists it as uncharacterized. The transcript has 3 exons. NCBI's taxonomy places the organism in Eukaryota, Metazoa, Mollusca, Gastropoda, Neomphalida, Peltospiridae. The record is from RefSeq and is a predicted model, not a curated record.
AAUCCGUUAUUUCUUGCUUGCGACAUUCAACUGGCAACAUGAAAAUGCUUCUGGCAAUCUGCGUUCUGAUUCUAGGCGUUUCCUUGGCCUACGGGGAUUCGUGUACUGGUACGGCUGGUGAGACGUGUUACCUGCAGCCGGAUGCAGUCUGCUUGAAUGUGAUGUGUCAUAAUGAAGAUGGAUUGUCGGAUUGCUUUGGGAAGUGGACGUAUGGCGGGGAGGAAGUGGCGUGCUACGCCAAAUAGCUCUUCGUUGACGACAUGAUGCGUCAAAUAACUAACUCUGGAGUUAGUCACGAAAUGAUAUACCACAUAACCAUCGCUUAAUUUAUAACAUGAUGCGUCAAAUAAUAUAUGACCAGUCUGAAGGAACGUAAAUGUUAAUAACACACACACGGGGGAUAUUAAAAAUGAUUGGAAAUGAA